CUACGACCAUAUCACGUUGAAAACACCGGUUCUCGUCCGAUCAACGAAGUUAAGCAACGUCGAGCUCGGUUAGUACUUGGAUGGGUGACCGCCUGGGAAUACCGGGUGUUGUAG
Molecule: ribosomal RNA, 114 nt
Filed under: Mytilus coruscus
Lineage: Eukaryota; Metazoa; Mollusca; Bivalvia; Mytilida; Mytilidae
Source: RNAcentral